This 519-nucleotide ribosomal RNA is filed under the name Artemia parthenogenetic lineage. RNAcentral describes it as "Artemia parthenogenetica partial 12S ribosomal RNA". The record is from RNAcentral. Lineage: Eukaryota; Metazoa; Arthropoda; Branchiopoda; Anostraca; Artemiidae.
GGAACUUUGAAACAAGAGUGUGUUACUUCAACAGGGGUGAAAUCUGCAUAUACCAUGAAUUUUUUGGUUAAAGUACCUUUUAGGUGGUCAAAUGACUAGGAUUAGAUACCCUAUUAGUCCACUCUUAAUUAACCUGGGUAGUAGUAUCGAAACCUAAAGAAUUUGGCGGUUUCUAAACCUACUAGAGGAACCUGCCCCAUAAACGACAAUCCACGAAAAAAUUCACCCGGGCUAGUUAUGCAGCUUAUAUACCGUCGUUUAGAGGACUAAAUAAAUAGAUCCUCUUAAAAGCUUAGGCUAAUAAAUCAGAUCAAGGUGUAGCUCAUGCCCGGGAGAGGGUGGGUUACAAUGAAAAUUCAUACGGAGCUUUUAUUUUAUGAUAGAAAAGAAGGUGGAUUUAGAAGUAAGACUUAAUAUACUGAAAAAGGCUCUCAGAAAUGUACACAUCGCCCGUCGCUCUCUUGUCCGAAGAGAUAAGUCGUAACAAAGUAGGUGGACCGGAAGGUCUAUCUCGAAAGA